UACGGAGGGUGCAAGCGUUGUUCGGAAUUACUGGGCGUAAAGCGCACGUAGGCGGCCAGGUAAGUCGGAUGUGAAAUCCCGGGGCCCAACCCCGGAACUGCACCCGAUACUGCCUGGCUGGAGUCCCGGAGAGGAUGGCGGAAUUUCCGGUGUAGAGGUGAAAUUCGUAGAUAUCGGAAGGAACACCAGUGGCGAAGGCGGCCAUCUGGACGGUGACUGACGCUGAGGUGCGAAAGCGUGGGGAGCAAACAGG
This 253-nucleotide unclassified non-coding RNA is filed under the name uncultured delta proteobacterium. RNAcentral describes it as "contains 16S-23S intergenic spacer region". It matches the Rfam family "Bacterial small subunit ribosomal RNA", at positions 524 to 776 of the family's 1533-position model. The record is from RNAcentral. Lineage: Bacteria; Deltaproteobacteria.